Molecule: ribosomal RNA, 663 nt
Filed under: Triticum aestivum (bread wheat)
Lineage: Eukaryota; Viridiplantae; Streptophyta; Magnoliopsida; Poales; Poaceae
Description: partial small subunit ribosomal RNA
Source: RNAcentral
AUGGAAUUGAGUUUGCCUCGUACGCUUCAUCUUUUUAAUAUCUUUCGUGAGAUUGAUGGAAAGGAAAAUUGUGCUCAAGUGCUAGAAGAAGAAGUCUAUAGAAUGUUUGGCACUAAAUCUUUGAAUGAUGAUCAUGAUUGCAAUGUUAUUAGUAUGAACUUUUUGAAUAUCCAUAGUACUAAUGAUGAUUGCACUAGUCAUGAUGAAAAUAUCUAUUAUAAGCAUGUCGAUUUUUGUGGAGUGCAUAGAGUUUGCAAGUACAUACCAAACAGGGAAGAUAGAUUUUGCAAGAGGCAUAAGUAUUUGGAAACUAAAUGGUUGCAAGCGAGGCUAGAUGUUAGUGCUAAAAAUUUAAAAUAUCUUAGCCAUACUUGUGAACUUUGCAAUGAACAUGGUCAUUUAAAUAUCAAAUGCAAAUUGUUUCAUGAUCGAAUCGUGUCCAAAAAUUGUGAUGACUUGAUUUCCCUUGCACAUCAUAAUGAACUUAGUUUGCUUUUGGGUUAUGAAGAAAUGAAACGUCAAACUAAGCAUAUUCCAGAAUAUAACCUUGAGAAAUUCCUCGAUAUUGAUCUACAAGAAAUUUAUAUGUAUUGUGCGGUGAAUUGCAUUGAAAAUCCUUAUAUUGCCAAUUACAUAAAGAAAAGAAAACAAAUAAGAAGAUGA